UACGUAGGGUGCAAGCGUUGUCCGGAAUUAUUGGGCGUAAAGAGCUCGUAGGCGGCUUGUCGCGUCGGCUGUGAAAACUCGGGGCUCAACCCCGAGCCUGCAGUCGAUACGGGCAGACUAGAGUGCUGUAGGGGAGACUGGAAUUCCUGGUGUAGCGGUGAAAUGCGCAGAUAUCAGGAGGAACACCGGUGGCGAAGGCGGGUCUCUGGGCAGUAACUGACGCUGAGGAGCGAAAGCGUGGGGAGCGAACAGG
RNAcentral lists this ribosomal RNA (253 nucleotides) under uncultured bacterium. RNAcentral describes it as "partial 16S ribosomal RNA". It matches the Rfam family "Bacterial small subunit ribosomal RNA", at positions 524 to 776 of the family's 1533-position model. The record is from RNAcentral.